Non-coding RNA from Penaeus vannamei (Pacific white shrimp), 486 nucleotides. The record is from RefSeq and is a predicted model, not a curated record. NCBI's taxonomy places the organism in Eukaryota, Metazoa, Arthropoda, Malacostraca, Decapoda, Penaeidae.
GAUUAUUGAUCAGCCUCAGAAAGCCAAAACUUUUGACAAUCCUCUCCAUUUUCCUCAUUUUCCGCCAAAAUGCAGACCAACUUGCAAGUCCAGAGCUCGAUAGUGGAGCAGCUGCGCCGUGAAGCGAGCAUCAAGCGCACUCCUGUGUCUGAGGCCGUGGAGGACAUCAAGCAGUUUAUCCUCCAGCAUGAACAGGAAGAUUACCUCCUAAUUGGGUUCUCCUCCCAGAAGAACAACCCCUUCAGGGAAAAGUCCUCCUGCGACAUCCUCUAAAUCAAACGUGCAGUUGCAAAAAACUCUUUUUGCAGUGUGGUUGGUGUUACAGUUCUGGGGCCAAGCAUCUCAUCGAUCUCAGUAUUUUGCCUCAAAUGGAAGUUUAAGCCAAGUGCUACUUCUGAUUUUACUUAUACACAAAAUUGUACAACUGGGGAAAGCUUUACUUUCCCCACAAGUAGCUUUGUAUGUCAAUAAAAAUGUGAAAAAAUA